This is a long non-coding RNA of Numida meleagris (helmeted guineafowl), 1547 nucleotides long. NCBI's taxonomy places the organism in Eukaryota, Metazoa, Chordata, Aves, Galliformes, Numididae. The record is from Ensembl.
AGCUGUAGUCCCGCGACCCCGCUGCGGCCCGGGGCGCCGCGAGGAGGCGAACUACAGCCCCCGGCGCGCCCCCCGCCAGCGGGGAGCAGCCGGCGAGACGGCGCGUGCGCGCUCCGCCCGACGGAGUUUCCGUUACUUUCCUCUCCCGUGGCGGUGGUAGCCCGGAGCCGCUAACGGGACGGCUCGGCGUCCGCAGCCGCCCGCGCCUCGCCUCUCCUCUCCUCUCCUCUCCUCAGCGUCCCCCUCGGCUCCCGCCGUGCCGCGAGCCCACAUCAGUCUCAGAGCUUGUUUUUGCCGCGGAGAGCUUUCCCUACUGAACCCAGCUGCACUUUACUAAUUGCUAUCUCCUAUAGCUGCCGGAUGCCAGGAAAUAUGGCUGCAAGAGCUGAGCCUCAGAAAGCACAGGCUUCAUCCAUGCCGCUGCUGCCAGCUGUGCUCCCAGACCUCAGCAGAUGGCACUGUCACAUCAGCCCGGGCGCAGGAGAGAAGCAGCUCACAGAUUGUGUUUUCACAGCCACAUUCUUGGCAUCAGCUUACAAGGGUGCUGACUCAGCAGUAAGACUGUCAGCUGCAGCGAGUCCAUCUGUCCACCGGGCAGCGGAGCCACCAGCUUUUCUAGGAAAUCUGUGGAUCUGGUUCAAAGGUCUGCAAAUGGACAAAUGGCUCUGCUUCCCUGCUAUUAGCCUCACAGGCACUUUGAAUGCUUACCAAACUGCGCUUUCAGGAUGUGGUGUCUCAGAAUGAGGCUGAAGAGCAGCAAGAGGAUCGCUCCUCCUCCUUACUUUAUUUCUGCCUUCAUUUUGACUUUUUUUUUUCCUUUUGGUUGCAUAGAAUCAUAGAAUCACAGAAUAUCCUAAGUUGGAAGGGACCUGUAAGGAUCAUCGAGUCCAACUCCUGGCUCCGCACAGAACCAUCUAAAAAUGAGCCCGUGUAACUGAGAGUUCCUGUAGACACUCCUUGUACUUGCCCAGGACUGGGGCCGUGCCCACCACCCUGGGGAGCCUGUGCCAGUAGACACUGGUGCCAGUAGGCCCACCCACUGGUGAAGAACCUUUCUCUGAUAGCCAACCUGAACCUCCUCUGAGGUUUGCCUGAGCAUUAAGAGUAAUGUAAUAAUUGGAGACUUUCCGUGGAAUUUCUGUGAUGCAAAGGUCAGAUGUUUUGUACGAGAGUGCAGGCAAGGACAGUGAUACCGUCUGACCUAAAGGACUCCUGUGCCGAGAAGCUCGCCUGCUUGUUUUCAUCAUUUUAAUUGGCUUGUUGCGUUAUUUCACCUCGGCACGUAUUUUGCUUCGUAGAACCAUAGAACCGCUUGAGUUGAAACCCUUAAAGGCCAUCUGGUCCAGCUCCCCCGCAAUGAACAGGGACACCUACAGCUAAGUCAGGCCGCUCAGAGCCCCGUCCAGCCCGACCCCUCCGAGCCUCCUGGCGGGGCCGCGGCCGGGAGGAGCCCGGUGCUGCCGCGGCCACCUCCCUCACUCCCUCCCUCUCUCCUUCCCUCCCGCCCAGCCUCCGGCGCUGCUUCCCCUGCACUGCCCGUCUCCUCC